UACGGAGGGUGCAAGCGUUGUUCGGAAUUAUUGGGCGUAAGGGCGCGUAGGCGGUCCAGUAAGUCGGAUGUGAAAGCCCUGGGCUCAACCCAGGAAGUGCAUACGAAACUGCUGGACUUGAGUACGGGAGAGGGAAGUGGAAUUCCUGGUGUAGGGGUGAAAUCCGUAGAUAUCAGGAGGAACACCGGUGGCGAAGGCGACUUCCUGGACCGAUACUGACGCUGAGGCGCGAAAGCUAGGGGAGCAAACGGG
This 252-nucleotide ribosomal RNA is filed under the name uncultured bacterium. RNAcentral describes it as "partial 16S ribosomal RNA". It matches the Rfam family "Bacterial small subunit ribosomal RNA", at positions 524 to 776 of the family's 1533-position model. The record is from RNAcentral.